This 465-nucleotide ribosomal RNA is filed under the name uncultured Klebsiella sp. RNAcentral describes it as "bacterial SSU rRNA". It matches the Rfam family "Bacterial small subunit ribosomal RNA", at positions 338 to 795 of the family's 1533-position model. Lineage: Bacteria; Pseudomonadati; Pseudomonadota; Gammaproteobacteria; Enterobacterales; Enterobacteriaceae. The record is from RNAcentral.
CCUACGGGCGGCAGCAGUGGGGAAUAUUGCACAAUGGGCGCAAGCCUGAUGCAGCCAUGCCGCGUGUGUGAAGAAGGCCUUCGGGUUGUAAAGCACUUUCAGCGGGGAGGAAGGCGGUGAGGUUAAUAACCUCAUCGAUUGACGUUACCCGCAGAAGAAGCACCGGCUAACUCCGUGCCAGCAGCCGCGGUAAUACGGAGGGUGCAAGCGUUAAUCGGAAUUACUGGGCGUAAAGCGCACGCAGGCGGUCUGUCAAGUCGGAUGUGAAAUCCCCGGGCUCAACCUGGGAACUGCAUUCGAAACUGGCAGGCUAGAGUCUUGUAGAGGGGGGUAGAAUGCCAGGUGUAGCGGUGAAAUGCGUGGAGAUCUGGAGGAAUACCGGUGGCGAAGGCGGCCCCCUGGACAAAGACUGACGCUCAGGUGCGAAAGCGUGGGGAGCAAACAGGAUUAGAUACCCUAGUAGUC